GACGAACGCUGGCGGGGUGCUUAACACAUGCAAGUCGAACGGAAAGGCCCUGCUUUUGUGGGGUGCUCGAGUGGCGAACGGGUGAGUAACACGUGAGUAACCUGCCCUUGACUUUGGGAUAACUUCAGGAAACUGGGGCUAAUACCGGAUAGGAGCUCCUGCUGCAUGGUGGGGGUUGGAAAGUUUCGGCGGUUGGGGAUGGACUCGCGGCUUAUCAGCUUGUUGGUGGGGUAGUGGCUUACCAAGGCCUUGACGGGUAGCCGGCCUGAGAGGGUGACCGGCCACAUUGGGACUGAGAUACGGCCCAGACUCCUACGGGAGGCAGCAGUGGGGAAUAUUGCACAAUGGGCGGAAGCCUGAUGCAGCAACGCCGCGUGCGGGAUGACGGCCUUCGGGUUGUAAACCGCUUUCGCCUGUGACGAAGCGUGAGUGACGGUAAUGGGUAAAGAAGCACCGGCUAACUACGUG
Molecule: ribosomal RNA, 468 nt
Filed under: uncultured bacterium
Lineage: Bacteria
Description: partial 16S ribosomal RNA
Rfam family: Bacterial small subunit ribosomal RNA
Source: RNAcentral